UUUUGUAUAAAAAAUUUACCAGUUUUACAUUUUUAUAAAAUCGGUCUAUAUUUUUUAUUUUGCAGAGUGAUAUCGGAUUUUUGAGAAACUGAUCAAAAUACUCAUAUUCUUGCUCCCUUUCUCUCUCCCCUUCCCUGCUUAAUUUCUCCUCCUAUUUCUUGGCAAAAAAAUUCAAAAAAUGUGCAAGCAACUUGUUUGUCCUUUCUAAGAUUUAAAAAGAAAAAUAAAUUGUCAUUCAUUACUUGCUCGGAUAGCAUUGUUUUUUGGUCAAUUAUGACAAUAAGAAAGAAAACUUUCUGCUAAUGUAUCAACUUAUAUAAAAUUAGUGUUUCAAAAAAAAUAAAAAAAAAUAGGUA
Molecule: long non-coding RNA, 356 nt
Filed under: Ananas comosus (pineapple)
Lineage: Eukaryota; Viridiplantae; Streptophyta; Magnoliopsida; Poales; Bromeliaceae
Description: long non-coding RNA (ACOM_LNC027026)
Source: RNAcentral